GCGGGCUUCCCUGGAGCAGGUUUUUUCCCCCCACCUACCAGCUCCAUUCAUACAAACACCCCCCAGCAAACCUCCUCCCGCUGAGGAACGCCCCAGCUGGGCAGGGGCAGCGGCAGCCGCCCCGUCGCUGCGCUCCCACCCCCGGUAUGCUCGGGGCGGGGGGUUCCCCCCGAGGGGCAGGAGCGGCGGCGGGUGCCGGUCCCGUCCCCCCUCCCCGCCGGGGCUGAGGAAGCGGAGGGAGCCGUGGAGUUGCUGUGCAUAUUAAUGAGCCGGCAGCAAGGGCAGCGGGAGCUGUUUUAAAAGAGGACAAGGGAAGGCAAGCGGCAGAGCGCAGGCAGCGCGCAGGCAGAGCGCAGGCAGCGCGCGAAGCGCCAGGGCAGCAGCAGCAGCACCGCCGGGAGCCGCGCUCUGUUCUCCCCUCCCUGGUGAAUUCCAGCCUCAAGGACGGGGGAAUCGGGGGGACGAACGCGGAGCCAGUAAAGGCAGGAGAACCCGCGGCGUCUCUUUAGGUACCUGCUGCCUCACCAUGAAGCUCCUGACAGCAGCGCUGCUUCUGCUGUUCAUCGUGAUGUGCUUGGCCAGCGCAGAAGGCGUGAAGUGCAAGUGUUCAAGGAAAGGUCCUAAAAUAAGAUUCUCUAAUGUAAGGAAGCUGGAAAUAAAACCGAGGUACCCAUUCUGCGUGGAAGAGAUGAUUAUCGUGACUCUGUGGACACGGGUGAGGGGCGAGCAGCAGCACUGCUUAAACCCCAAACGCCAAAACACAGUGAGACUGCUCAAGUGGUACAGAGUAUGGAAAGAGAAAGGCAGGGUUUAUGAAGAAUAAGAGGAAGCGGCAUGAAGAACAGAGCAGACUCCCUUGGCUGGCAUAGGACUGGGCUCUGCAGAAGAUUAUUUCUCUCUCACAGACAUAAGACACAAUCUAUAUUAUUAUAAAGCACUUUUUACCAAGGGUCAGUUUUUACAUUUUAUAGCCACAUGCAAAAGGCUUCCAGAUUCCACAUGCAUCUGUUGCACUUCAGAUUUCAUACCCGUCUGCUCUGUACUGAGAUUGGGGAAACUCAUGCUUUUCAUUUUAAAGAGGUUGGAUUUGGAUUUGUUGGGGUUUUUUUUAUUGUUAUUCAUUCAUACUUCACUAUGAUUGCAAUCGAGCUUUAUAAGCUCAUUAAACAAACAGUAAUGUUUGUAAAGGUGUUAUACAGCCAUGUCCCUCACCCUUUCGCAGUGGGAAAGCUUCGGUGCUGUGGUUCUUUGUCAUGUUUGCAGCCUCCAAUUUAGUCAGGCAAAGCAGGGACCAAAGAUGAGCUUGCUGGGGAAGAUGCCACUGGAAUGUCAUGGCUGUAACAGCAGAAGUGAGGUCCCUCAGCCCAUCGUCAAUGAGUGUGAACAUCACUUGUGCACCUCUUCUUCAAUGGACUUGAGGUCUUGCUGCAAGGUGAAGCAUACCAGAUCUCCUAUCUAAUGUUCCAUGCAUUAGAAAGCAUUUCUAGGUCAUUUUUAUUACUAAGCAAAUGUUUAUUUUGUUUUUCGUUUUUGGUUUUUUGGGGGUUUUUUUUUUCCAACUGAAGCUCUUACAGAAAGUUUGUGGCUUCAUUACUGAGACAUUUUAAGCUUCAAGACUAUCGUGUAUGAUUUCCUAGAUUUGUAGCAAUGAAAAAAAGCCUUUAAAAGGUACCUUUUUAUGAAAAAAAUAUGAUAGGGCAAACAUAUAAAUACCUAUGUUUUAGUCACAACAUAUUCAUUAUUUUGAAUGUAAUACUUCAAUGUUAAGCAGUGCAUUCCUCUUUCUAAAAUAACAAAACUACCUUUUCAUUUGUAAAUAUACUCUAGGAAGUCUCCCUGUAUUAUCUCGCUGUAUAAUGUACUGUACCGCUAAAUUAUCAUAUGCUAUUUAAAUGGUUGAAAUAUUUAGAAGGUUGCAUGCAGAUUUCAUAUUUCUUUCUAAGACAAAUGAAAAAAAGAAAUAAAAAAUGUAUUUAAAACCA
Long non-coding RNA from Strigops habroptila (Kakapo), 1982 nucleotides. The record is from Ensembl. NCBI's taxonomy places the organism in Eukaryota, Metazoa, Chordata, Aves, Psittaciformes, Psittacidae.